Molecule: long non-coding RNA, 546 nt
Organism: Neltuma alba
Lineage: Eukaryota; Viridiplantae; Streptophyta; Magnoliopsida; Fabales; Fabaceae
Exons: 3
Source: RefSeq, a predicted model, not a curated record
ACACCUGUGGGAAUGUGUGUAUAUAUGGGUCUAAAGCUACCAUUCCUUCACCCAUCCCCAAGUUGUAUCUCUUCCAAUAAGCUCACCGUCAAGUUCUGCAAUUCAUAGGCCUCCUGCUGCAGCCAUGAGUGAGAUCAAAUAUGGCUACCCUUAUCCUCCUCAAGGUCCUUAUCAGGGGCCACCGCCGGUGGCGGCACCGCCGCAGUAUUACGCUGAGCAACCACAGCCAAAAAAUCGGCCAGAGCGUGGAUUCCUUGAGGGUUGCUUAGCAGCUCUGUGUUGUUGUUGCCUCUUGGACGAGUGCUGCUGCGACCCAACAAUUAUUUGUGAUUGCUGAUGUGCCUUUAAGCAACACAUACACACAUCUUCAUAGGCUCUUUGUCGGGGAUCCCAAUUUUACUAAAUACUGAAUAACUAUUUUAUGUUAUUGUUGACUUUAUGCCCUACUACAUAUGUUUCUUUAUUAAUUAUAUCGUUGACGAUUGUAUUGUAUGGAUGUAUUUUAGAAUGUUCAUUAACAUGUAUAUUUUGUUGGUGUCUCCUAAA